UGGCGCCAAGGAGAUGAAAUGGCGGCUGUCGGCGCUGCCGUGGGGUUGCGGGAACUUUCCCAGUGAGUAGUUGGUAUCAACAGCUGGACGCAAAAUGUAGUGACUGACAGGAGCUUCAAACGGAAUGAGCGAGCGGGGUGAUGAUCCCUGUGCCCAGUCACAAUCCAAUGACCUUUGCUGGAAAGCAUACUUGAAUUGGGCUCAGCUGUAAUGUUGUUCACACUGCUUACUGUCACUAAGUGACUGUGUUCCAACUGUAAAUCUACACUGGAAGGCAUCCCAAUCCCAGGAACCCCUCUACAGUAAUUCUGACCUCAGUAUUUGCUGCCACACAAUGGAUUCUUUCUGCUCUCCAGUGGCUUUGCAUAUCCAACAGCUGAGGAUGAACAGGAGAACUGGCUGUUUGGAAGCUUGUUGUAGCCACGGGUUGUUUUGUCAUCCACUCCUUUAUUGAAGUCUUAAGUUCUGCUUAAUUUUUCUCCACUGUAAUGAAGCCAAACUCAGUAAGUUAGUGGUAUGGAGAAAUAAAAUGUUGUUGUGCAUAGAUGCCCCAUCACACUGUUAAACACCAUUUGGUUCCAUGCAUAUCCGCCCAACCCUGCAAUGGACACCAAAACUUGUGCACAAUCUCUUUGGAUGUGGGAAUUGUGGCGCAGUCAUAUGUAUACGGACACUGCAAAGGUGGGAGGGACUUAAUGUGGUAAAGUGAUGUUGUAUUUUUAUAUAAUGUAUUCAUCUGUAUAUAAGCUGGCUUAUAAAGGAUAUGUAAUAACUUCAGUAUUAAAACUAUGAUGAAUGCCAGUUUCUUGUGCACAACUUAA
Molecule: long non-coding RNA, 821 nt
Organism: Pristis pectinata (smalltooth sawfish)
Lineage: Eukaryota; Metazoa; Chordata; Chondrichthyes; Rhinopristiformes; Pristidae
Exons: 3
Source: RefSeq, a predicted model, not a curated record